GAAAAAAUUAGAUACAUUUGACUGUGUCAAAAUGUAAAACUUUAAGCUGGGUGCAGUGGCAUAAGCCUGUAACCAUACCUACUUGGGAGGCUGAGGCAGGAGGAUUGUGCAUUCAAGGUCAGGUUGAGUGACAUAGUAAGACCUCAUUUCAAAAAAAAAAAAAUUAAAACGUUUGUGUGUCAAAUACACUAGCAACAGAGUGAAAAUGCAGCCUCUCCAAUAAUGUAUUUAUAAAGUAUAUAUAUGUAUAUUGAUAUUAAUAUUGAGAAUGUAAAAAUAACUCCCAUAGCUCAAUUAAAAAGACAAUCUCAGUUCAAAAAUGGGCAUGAUGGUGCAUGCCUGUAAUCUCAGCACUCUGGAGGCUGAGGCAGGAAGAUGACUUGAACUGAGAAGUUUUCUAACCACCUGGGCAACAAAGCAACACCUCAUUUUUUUUCAGUACUGGAGAUUGAACCUACCCAGCGCUAGGCAGGCUCUGUGCCACUGAGCUACAUCCCUGACCCCUGCAACACACCCAUAUUUUAAAAAAUGGGCACAGGACUUGAACAGACAUUACUCCAAGUGGCAGACCACAAACAAUAAAGACUUCCAAGUCUCCUUGGAUCCGUGUAACAGAAAAUUGUUCGAUGUGGUGGGCAGAAGGCCCGGAAGCUGUGGCUGGCCUGGGAGAGUGACUGGCCCGAGCUUCCCCUCCCGACCACCCUGCAGAAGAGAAGUCACCGUCCCUGCAUGGCAGAGCUGUGUUACUACCAAACACAAGUGCGAGGAAGGCUUUUUCUCUGCCAGGGUAACUGCACGGAGCCUUCACUUCUCCCUGCCGUGGACAGCCAGCCGGCCAGGCUCCUCGGAGCUCUCAGUUCGGCCUUGACCUUGGCCCCUGUCCUCGCUAACCGGGUG
RNAcentral lists this long non-coding RNA (897 nucleotides) under Heterocephalus glaber (naked mole-rat). RNAcentral's name for it is "lncRNA (ENSHGLG00000045229.1)". Lineage: Eukaryota; Metazoa; Chordata; Mammalia; Rodentia; Bathyergidae. The record is from RNAcentral.